GUUUGAACCACCCCCUUAAAAUUACCCAAUCUCCAUGAAACUGACCCAAAAUCAAAGUCACUCGGCGGACACACAUCAGGGGUUUCUCGGCGUCGAUUCGAGGUUGAAGAGGUUUUGGGUUUGUUUUGGGGCGAUUUGUUGAGGUUUUGGUCAAUGGAUGUUUUCGGUGCCUACGGUCGCAUGGGGAGAAGGCGCGCGCCGCCCCACCCCCACCCCACUUUAUUUGGGGCCUUUUGGGGUGUUUUUAGGAGUUAUCAUUACCCCGGCGCAAAACGGGUUCAGAAAGCGCGAUUUUGGGUCAUCCCCAGCGCAGAACAGACGUAAGAAAUGGGCUCAGAGCACGAAACGGGCUCAGAAAGAGAGAGAUUUUGGGUCAGUCACACGGCGCCAGCGCGAAGCGGGUUCAGAAAUGGGCGUUUUGGGGGUGAAGCUCGCGGCGAAACAGGCGCAGAAAGCAACAUUUUGGGUGCGUUGUGAGAGCGUCGCUGCUGCCCCAACACAGAAUGGGCUCAGAAAGCAGGGUAUGGGGCCGGCGUGA
This 538-nucleotide long non-coding RNA is filed under the name Coturnix japonica (Japanese quail). RNAcentral describes it as "lncRNA (ENSCJPG00005001886.1)". The record is from RNAcentral. Lineage: Eukaryota; Metazoa; Chordata; Aves; Galliformes; Phasianidae.